GCGACCGGAACGUAUUUAUUAGAUAUUAGACCAAUCGCAGCAAUGUGAUUGAGAUGAAUCAAAGUAACUGAUCGAAUCGUAGCUUGCUACGAUAAAUCAUCUAAGUUUCUGCCCUAUCAGCUCUCGAUGGUAGUGUAUUGGACUACCAUGGCAGUCACGGGUAACGGAGAAUUAGGGUUCGAUUCCGGAGAAGGAGCCUGAGAAACGGCUACUACAACUACGGUUCGGCAGCAGGGAAGAAAAUUGGCCAAUCCUAAUUCAGGGAGCCAGUGACAAGAAAUAGCAAGCUGGGAAACUAAGUUUCUACGGCAUUGAAAUGAGAAAAGUGUAAAUCUCUUAGCGAGGAACAAUUGGAGGGCAAGUCAUGGUGCCAGCAGCCGCGGUAAUUCCAGCUCCAAUAGCGUAUAUUAAAGUUGUUGCAGUUAAAAAGCUCGUAGUUGAACUUCUCUUCAGGUUCAUUUCGACUCGUCGAGUGAAACUGGAAAUACGUCUGCAAACUAAAAUCGGCCUUCACUGGUUCGACUUAGGGAGUAGGCAUUUUACUGUGAAAAAAUUAGAGUGUUUCAGGCAGGUUUUAGCCCGAAUACAUUAGCAUGGAAUAAUGGAAUAGGACUAAGUCCAUUUUAUUGGUUCUUGGAUUUGGUAAUGAUUAAUAGGGACAGUUGGGGGCAUUAGUAUUUAAUAGUCAGAGGUGAAAUUCUUGGAUUUAUUAAGGACUAACUAAUGCGAAAGCAUUUGCCAAAGAUGUUUUCAUUAAUCAAGAACGAAAGUUAGGGGAUCAAAGACGAUCAGAUACCGUCGUAGUCUUAACUAUAAACUAUACCGACUCGGGAUCGGCUGGAAUAUAUGUCCAGUCGGCACCGUAUGAGAAAUCAAAGUCUUUGGGUUCUGGGGGAAGUAUGGUACGCAAGUCUGAAACUUAAAGGAAUUGACGGAACAGCACACCAGAAGUGGAACCUGCGGCUUAAUUUGACUCAACACGGGGAAACUCACGAGCGCAAGACAGAGAAGGGAUUGACAGAUUGAGAGCUCUUUCUUGAUUCUUUGGGUGGUGGUGCAUGGCCGUUCUUAGUUGGUGGAGUGAUUUGUCUGGUUAAUUCCGUUAACGAACGAGACCUUAACCUGCUAACUAGUCUGCCUGUGAACAACAGGUUGUACUUCUUAGAGGGACUAUUGUGCAAGAAGCCAAUGGAAGUUUAAGGCAAUAACAGGUCUGUGAUGCCCCUAGACGUGCUCGGCCGCACGCGCGUUACAAUGACUGGCGCAGAAAGUAUUUCCUGUCCUGGGAAGGUACGGGUAAUCUUAUUAAUACCAGUCGUGUUAGGGAUAGUUCUUUGGAAUUUUGGAUCUUGAACGAGGAAUUUCUAGUAAGUGCAAGUCAUCAGC
This 1386-nucleotide ribosomal RNA is filed under the name Tetrahymena eriensis. RNAcentral describes it as "SSU rRNA". It matches the Rfam family "Eukaryotic small subunit ribosomal RNA", at positions 192 to 1635 of the family's 1831-position model. The record is from RNAcentral. Lineage: Eukaryota; Ciliophora; Oligohymenophorea; Hymenostomatida; Tetrahymenidae.